RNAcentral lists this long non-coding RNA (251 nucleotides) under Ricinus communis (castor bean). RNAcentral describes it as "long non-coding RNA (RCOM_LNC001184)". Lineage: Eukaryota; Viridiplantae; Streptophyta; Magnoliopsida; Malpighiales; Euphorbiaceae. The record is from RNAcentral.
GAGCUUAGACUUAUCACUCAUGUCCUUCCUCUUUUUUGUCUAUCCUUGUGUUUGAAUCAAUUUGAUUUGAUCCUUACGCUUAGUCGUAUGGAAGAGAAUAAAAAACUUGUGAAAUCCUACCUAUGUUCUCAUUUUAUUCAUUUCUUUUAUGCCUCUUUGUCUAGUAUGAUAGUUUGAUUUUCUUUGGGGAGCAUAAACACAAGUCUUGAGUGAAAGCAUGUGGAAGCGACAAUUAUAGGCUCCAAUCUAAU